This is a long non-coding RNA of Protobothrops mucrosquamatus (brown spotted pit viper), 470 nucleotides long. RefSeq lists it as uncharacterized. NCBI's taxonomy places the organism in Eukaryota, Metazoa, Chordata, Lepidosauria, Squamata, Viperidae. The transcript has 3 exons. The record is from RefSeq and is a predicted model, not a curated record.
UCCCGCCCGCUGAGACGCCGCUGCUGCCGAAAGGGCUGCUCAGAUGAGCAGUACUGGACCCAGCCCAAUGUCAGCUGUUCCGUCUAGCAGUGGAAGAGGGACUGGGAGAUCAACAAACUUUAUUCUAGAAUUGCAAAGUAUGAUGAUUUCCCCCUUUAGGGGAUCUGACUGUCAAACCUACAAAACUACUUUGGUUACAGCCAUCUUUCUUCAUUUUUUGGCUUGCCACAGCUAUGGAGGGAGAGAAGAUGCAUUCUUCUAUUUCAGCCAAAACAAUAACUUUCUUGUGGGGACCAAGGUCAAAUUGCUCAAGUGUUUGGCGGGCUAGAAUUACUGUUAGAGAGCCCGCCAAAGGUGUUAAUUGGAGAAUGUGAUUUAUUACAUAAUUAGUAGGUGGGGAGUUUAACUUCUAUUUUGUAAUCUUUUUGGGGAGACUUCCAGACUUGAUUUCACCUAUGUUCGUGCUGAUA